This 468-nucleotide ribosomal RNA is filed under the name uncultured bacterium. RNAcentral describes it as "partial 16S ribosomal RNA". It matches the Rfam family "Bacterial small subunit ribosomal RNA", at positions 28 to 507 of the family's 1533-position model. The record is from RNAcentral.
GACGAACGCUGGCGGCGUGCUUAACACAUGCAAGUCGAACGGAAAGGCCCUGCUUUUGUGGGGUGCUCGAGUGGCGAACGGGUGAGUAACACGUGAGUAACCUGCCCUUGACUUUGGGAUAACUUCAGGAAACUGGGGCUAAUACCGGAUAGGAGCUCCUGCUGCAUGGUGGGGGUUGGAAAGUUUCGGCGGUUGGGGAUGGACUCGCGGCUUAUCAGCUUGUUGGUUGGGUAGUGGCUUACCAAGGCUUUGACGGGUAGCCGGCCUGAGAGGGUGACCGGCCACAUUGGGACUGAGAUACGGCCCAGACUACUACGGGAGGCAGCAGUGGGGAAUAUUGCACAAUGGGCGGAAGCCUGAUGCAGCAACGCCGCGUGCGGGAUGACGGCCUUCGGGUUGUAAACCGCUUUCGCCUGUGACGAAGCGUGAGUGACGGUAAUGGGUAAAGAAGCACCGGCUAACUACGUG